GGGCCUGCACAAGCGGUGGAGCAUGUGGUUAAUUUGAAGCAACGCGCAGAACCUUACCAACGUUUGACAUCCUCAUCGCGAUUUCCAGAGAUGGAUUUCUUCAGUUCGGCUGGAUGAGUGACAGGUGCUGCAUGGCUGUCGUCAGCUCGUGUCGUGAGAUGUUGGGUUAAGUCCCGCAACGAGCGCAACCCUCGCCUUUAGUUGCCAUCAUUUAGUUGGGUACUCUAAAGGAACCGCCGGUGAUAAGCCGGAGGAAGGUGGGGAUGACGUCAAGUCCUCAUGGCCCUUACGCGUUGGGCUACACACGUGCUACAAUGGCGACUACAGUGGGCAGCGACCAUGCGAGUGGAAGCUAAUCUCCAAAAGUCGUCUCAGUUCGGAUUGUUCUCUGCAACUCGAGAGCAUGAAGGCGGAAUCGCUAGUAAUCGCGGAUCAGCAUGCCGCGGUGAAUACGUUCCCAGGCCUUGUACACACCGCCCGUCACACCAUGGGAGUUGGUUUCACCCGAAGGCAGUGCGCUAACCGCAAGGAGGCAGCUGACCACGGUGGGAUCAGCGACUGGGGUGAAGUCGUAACAAGGUAGCCGUAGGGGAACCUGCGACUGGAUCACCUCGUUAAGCUUGGAUCCCGGGAAUCGAUUCCCGCGAC
This 648-nucleotide ribosomal RNA is filed under the name uncultured Sphingobium sp. RNAcentral describes it as "bacterial SSU rRNA". It matches the Rfam family "Bacterial small subunit ribosomal RNA", at positions 917 to 1533 of the family's 1533-position model. The record is from RNAcentral. Lineage: Bacteria; Pseudomonadati; Pseudomonadota; Alphaproteobacteria; Sphingomonadales; Sphingobiaceae.